AAGCAGCAGGAUGGCAAACUGCAGGCUGGGAAUGUGGCUGCCAAAACCACCACAAGGAGAGUGGGGCAUAGAGGCAUCUGUGGAGCAUUCUGUUUGUUAAUUGCUCAUGGAAUUUCAGGCUGAAAGAGAAGAAAGGAAUCUACCAGGUGGCUGCAUCUUGAAAAACAGGCCUUGUCUUCCUGUCCCAUUUUGCAGCAGUCCUGUGUGUGGGAGAAGUACAGCUGUGGGAUGCCUGAUGAACAGAGGUGCUUGAACAACUGGCCUUCAGCUCUGUCACCUUCUUUGGUGGUUGCAAAAACAAAACAAAACAAAACAAAACAAAACCAACCACACGCACAAAAAAAGACAAAAAAAUCCAAGCCAAAGAUAGUUUAUGUACAGCUCAGGAAGCUCCCAGCAAUGAGUGUGUCUGUGAUUUAAUAAUACACCUACCCAAAAUGACACCUCUUCUACCACUCACUGAGAAAAAGAAGGCAGAGCAGCACACAAGGCACUGCUGUUGCAGCAACAAGCAGCCAAACUGCCAGGUAUUUAUUUUUCAAUGUACACAAUUAUUGGGGGAGAAUAAAAAUUAUUCUUUGACACUCUGAGAGAGCUGUAAAAAGCCCUGUGCUUCCCCUACUCCCAUGGUCGUGGCAAGAAACACCUCACAAAUUCUAAUAAAUAGAGAAUAGAAAUAAAUACUUUAACUACACAGCAUCGGGUUUCAAAUGGCUUCCUGAAUCAGAAAGUGCUGCUAGUCCAUCUUCCUUAUUUCCACACUCUGUAAUGGUGGCUCUCCAAAAGUCAAAGUGAGAUGGAUACUACAAGGAUCACAGACACUACACUGGGAAACCAAGUAUCAGUGGCUACAUCCAGAUUUAUGGUAGGUGAUGGCAGUAAAGUGAAAGUAAAACUGUUUGCACAGUCUGUAUUGUUGGCCAUUACUGUGUAUUUGCCCUUUUUUCUUGCUUAGCUGCAGCUGGAAGAAUGGAAAAUUGUACCUUCUCUACAGUAUUAGAAGACACUUUCUGAUCGUAAGGUCAAUCAGACUGGUUUAGCUGCUUGAGGUAUUUAUGGCACCAUCACUCAGUGUCUUUAAGGAAAGGUUAGAUACAUUUAUGGGAAAGGUAUUUUGCAGAAGCUUUCCUGCUUCAUAGAGGUCUUGGACAAAAUGACCCAGGAGGCCCCUUCCAAGUCUAUCAAAUGUGGUUCCCUGAUUGAUGCUGUUUCCCCCCAAAGUCUUUUCAAAACACAAAGCACUGUUAUAAAAUUUAAUAUGAUACACUAUAUAACUUUAACACAAUGCCAUUUUCUUAUAGGAAAUGGUUAGCUGGUAGCACAGGAGCCUCGUGCAAGAGGAAAAAAAGGUAGAAAAAAGAAAUUGCAGUGCAGUUUCUCUGCUGAGGGAUAUCGACUGUAACAUUUACUCUGCGUCUGACCACGGACUCUCAGCUGUGCAGGGGGACACCAAGCCAGGGAAGGGUAUAAGGAACCCAGGCUUAUUUAUUUCUCCAGAAAAGCCUGACAAGGCCUGAGGUAAUUUUCUGUGCUGUGCAAUAAUCAUUCCCUCAAUGCUGGGGAGCAAACAGACACCCAGCUCUCCUUGUAAAUCACUGCCUGGUGCUGUACUGGCUGGGCAGAGGCAGAGCUGCCUGGGGAGCAGGAGAGGAGCAGGAGGCACAGGCUGGAGCUCAGGUGUGUCCUGCACCUCUGAGAACACCCCACAAGGAGAAGAGCUGAGCUCUGAAACUCAGCACUCUGUGCCAUGGCCCUGGCCUGGCCUGCUGCCACCCCUGCUGCACCAUGGAGCAGGGGAGUGAAUCCCUGAAAACUGUGAGUGCCAAAACUGCACUUCUAUAAAAGGGCAGCAGCACCCCUGGUAACGUGUUUGUCUGCUGAGUAAAGAUUCAGCAAGAGAGCUUGGGCCACAUUUCCCCUGUCUGAAUACAAGAUUGUUUGUCAGGCAGAAUGCUCUCCAGGUCUUCUAUGUUUCCACCAAACCAUUCAGUAAAAUGAUAAUAUUCCUCUCCCUACUAUAUUUCCCUUUUUUUUUUGUUUUAAUUUUCUGAAUGUUUCCUAAAUUGGCUUUUUUUUAACCGUUAACAUAUUUAAAAAUUAAAUUCAUGUGAUGAUUUUUAAAAAAACAACAAGAAAAACCCAACCAGAUUCUCUGGGCCAUCUGGUUGAAAUGCUCUGGUCAGCCUCCACUGCUCUGUAGUAAGUUUUAAUUUUAGAUUUUCACAGGGAAAAAAAAAAGAAAGAAAAAAAUACCCAGAAUUUUAUUGAAUUGGAGUUUACUCUCAAAAUAAUUUUAUAAUAACCUUUUUAUUUUCAUUCUGACUGAUUUAGUUAAAGGCCAAACUCUUCUUCCAAAAAUCAGCUCCCAGCCCCCAUCUUCUUGGGAUAGCCCUGACAGGAAAUAACAACAUCCAUACACAGACACUCUGAAGCCUUUUGAAGUCUCACAAAUGUGAGCUGUUCCCUUUUGCAGAGCAGGCUGGGAUUAACUCUUUUAUUAACCUUAUAACCUCAUCCAUGAGAAAAAAAAAUAGUCAAUCCCUUUUAUUUUAUUUCUUUUAAAAUCUGGAUGCAUGCUGCCUUCUCUACCCAAACAUUUGUGAGCUCACCCUACAGACAGGAGCAAAAGAGCCCUUGGAAAGCCUCCUCUCCCUGAGGAGCUCCCCAAAGCCCCCAUUGGCCCUCCCAUUAUGUUGCACUCAGUGUCAAAUUUUGUGUUUUCACUGGAAAAUAUUUUCGCUUUACAGGAGGGUUGUGUCUCUGUGUAUUGGUGGGAGCAAAUAACAACCUUUUGGUCCUUUUCAACACAUUGCAUCAAUGUAUUUUCCUGAUUCUCAUGUCAAAAAAAGCAUCUUUUAGCAGAAUGAAAAAUCUGACCUGGGUGUAAUCCUGACAGUGCUCCAAUUGCUCAUCCUUAGCUUCAUCCCUGCACUGCAGUGCAUAGAAAGAGGCUCACAUUGGAAUAGCUCUUCUCACCAGUGUCAAAAUGGUAAAACUUUGCUCAGAGAGUGACAUGAGCAGGAAUUUCAAAGGCAGGAAAAUUUAUCUCCUGCUCUUUGUCUUACUCUAUGGUGCACUGUGGUGGUUGGAAGAUUUAACUUCCAACCAUCCCAUAUAUAUAAAUCCUAGUGGAAAACAACUCCCCAGCUUCUUUUUUUUUUAGGGUGUUGAGCUCAGCAGCUGGAAUCUGCCAGGGAAUGAUAGCCAAGAUAAGGAUGGAGAAAAACUUUGUGUAGCCUUCAGGUGUUGGUCAAGGGUGAGGAUUAGGGAACAGCCAAAGCCAAACAGAGCUCUGUGUGUCACACAAGGUCACAGCUCUUUAGUUUGGGGUUUGGGCCAGUCCUGCCCCUGCCCUGCUCAGCUCAGCCCAUUUACUGCUCUGGUGAUACAGCCCCUCCUGGGCUUUCUGCUUUUCAAAGGUUUACACUCAGUUUAAAUCUCAAUCAAAAGCUCCACUUUAGCUUUUAGGAGGCCAAGACACUUACAAAUCUCCUGUGAGAAGGGCAAGUGAGGAAGGCAGAGUGUCUCUCCCUUGCAAAGGCAUUCAGACACCCCUUGGAUGAGGAGUUUCUAGCUGCUUUGCUGGAUAAACAGACACAGCACAGUUCUAAUGUGCAGGGGUGCCCUUCACACCAACAGGCAGAGAAAAGAGGCAAUGGGAAGAGUAAGAGGCACCACAAUAAAAAAAGGCAGGAGUUCCAACUGAAAUUUUACCCUCUUUGAUUUUUGAAAAUGGGAAAACCCAUUCGGGAUCAGGGAUUUCCAGACUGGGCUGUAUGCACCAUUAAUUGUUCCAUGAAGCAGAGCUGGUCUGCUAUUGUUGUAUCCUUCCAAAAACAGCUGUUACUAUGAGCUCUGUGGGACUCAGGAACUCCAUUUCCCAGUUUUCACUUAGUACUUCAGUGAUCAUAUAUAAAUAAUAGUAAUGAUAAUCAUAACAAUACCUGGCUUGCCAUUAUGUUGUACUCAGCCUUUGUGAUGCUCUCUCAUGAUAAAAUCUGGGUAUUAAACACUUUAACUGAAACUCUUAAUAAAACAGAGAUAUUUUUACUUGUGCUGUUAUAUUCACAUUGUGAUCACAAAGCACUUUACAGAAUCAAAUGGAAGUAGCCAGUCUGAUCCUUGUAUAGAGAAUUUUGUGCAUCUCAGCAGUGUGUAACAAAGCUGCUGUACAGACAAGUAGCUGUCAAACAUACCAUGUUUUGGGGUUUGUCCUGGCUGAGCAGCAUCCAAAAGCUUGGGGUUUGUCCUUCAGGUUGGCAUCAAAGUCUGUAAAGCCACCACAAAUUGCACAACAAGAGGGAAUGUACAGUCUCACCAACUAGACAAGGACAAGCUGUGGUGUCUCAUUAUCAAGGUCCCUGGGUCUAAAAGGAAAAAAGAAAAAGGUUAUAAUUUUCCAGGUUUAGGAGAAAAGCCAUGGAAGUCUUGGAGUUGAGUAGUGAGCAGCCUCCAUGGGGGUCACUGCAAGGGGACAAGGCAAAUGCUCAUGGUAAAUGGUGCCUUCUGAGGUCUGAGAGGGUCUCCAGCUUUGGGCCCUGUACCAGGUACUUCUGGAGCUGUGAGACAGUGAGGGGCUUUGUUCCCUCCUGUAUAAUUGAUAAAUUACCAUUGUUAGCACUAAACAAUACAACUGAGCACAGAAUGGAAACACGCUAAUGCUUUAUCCAGCUCCAGCAAUUCUGCUCCUGUGCUCACACUGUUCUUAAAUGUGCUAGGUAUUUAUUUGAUGAAACAAUAAGUUUUAGAAAAGAGAAAAAUAAGAACUUCAAAGAUAAUAAAAACCUUGACUACAUACUUUACCACAGGCAGCUGUGAAUAAGCUUCAGUACUCUUUAUUUUUAACAUUCCAGAUAUGUAAUUUAAUGCAGGUCUAAUGACAGUCUCGAACAUGCUGCUUUAAUCGAAAUUGUUCAAGCUCUGUUCUGUGACAAGGGCUCACAAGAUACCAGCAGGGUUGUCCAUUUUCCCCACUUCUGUAGGGAAAAGAAAAAGGAGGGGGGGGGGACACUCUUGAACUUAUGUUGCUAUUGAUGUGUAAUAUACAAUAAAAAAACAGUUAAAUUUCAAUUACCCACAGGUAAUUAUAAUUUUAUUGUUUGACUGUACUAUGGGGAAUUUUGUAAUUCCCAAGACUAAUAAUUUUCUAUAAUUUUACAGGUUGUCAAAUAAACUAUUAAAGAUUAUCUU
This is a long non-coding RNA of Melospiza georgiana, 5190 nucleotides long. RefSeq lists it as uncharacterized. The transcript has 3 exons. NCBI's taxonomy places the organism in Eukaryota, Metazoa, Chordata, Aves, Passeriformes, Passerellidae. The record is from RefSeq and is a predicted model, not a curated record.